UCCAAAAGUCUUGUCCAAUUGAACUCUUGCAAGAAUGUACAGAUGUUUUAACACUGGACAGAGGUAUUCUUUUAAUUUCUUGACCGCGCAAAAAUCGAUCAUCGACUGGCUACAUCAUUGAUCCAGUUGACGUCCAACGCUCAGUAUAAAAAAAGUGGCCCAUAUGACACCAGGCUUGGGACAAAGAUAGUGUUUAAAACCCUGGCCAAUUCGCCCUAAGGGCACAGGCGUAUUACAUAUAAACAAUGAUUAAACUACUAGAGAAAACCUUAAAAUGAAUAAAUGGAUGGGUUAUAAAUAAAACCAGACCGCCGGGGCCAACUUCGACCGCGUCAAUGUUUGUAUACCCUCGAA
Molecule: long non-coding RNA, 354 nt
Organism: Drosophila willistoni
Lineage: Eukaryota; Metazoa; Arthropoda; Insecta; Diptera; Drosophilidae
Exons: 2
Source: RefSeq, a predicted model, not a curated record